Molecule: ribosomal RNA, 550 nt
Filed under: uncultured bacterium
Lineage: Bacteria
Description: bacterial SSU rRNA
Rfam family: Bacterial small subunit ribosomal RNA
Source: RNAcentral
UGGGGAAUCUUCCGCAAUGGACGAAAGUCUGACGGAGCAACGCCGCGUGAACGAUGACGGCCUUCGGGUUGUAAAGUUCUGUUAUACGGGACGAAUGGUACGACGGCCAAUACCCGUCGUAAGUGACGGUACCGUAAGAGAAAGCCACGGCUAACUACGUGCCAGCAGCCGCGGUAAUACGUAGGUGGCAAGCGUUGUCCGGAAUUAUUGGGCGUAAAGGGCGCGCAGGCGGCGUCGUAAGUCGGUCUUAAAAGUGCGGGGCUCAACCCCGUGAGGGGAUGGAAACUGGUCUUCUUGAGUGCAGGAGAGGAAAGCGGAAUUCCUAGUGUAGCGGUGAAAUGCGUAGAUAUUAGGAGGAACACCAGUGGCGAAGGCGGCUUUCUGGACUGUAACUGACGCUGAGGCUCGAAAGCGUGGGGAGCGAACAGGAUUAGAUACCCUGGUAGUCCACGCCGUAAACGAUGAAUGCUAGGUGUAGGAGGUAUCGACCCCUCCUGUGCCGGAGUUAACGCAAUAAGCAUUCCGCCUGGGGAGUACGGCCGCAAGGCUG